Molecule: unclassified non-coding RNA, 804 nt
Filed under: Hevea brasiliensis (rubber tree)
Lineage: Eukaryota; Viridiplantae; Streptophyta; Magnoliopsida; Malpighiales; Euphorbiaceae
Source: RNAcentral
GUAGCAAAUCUUGUGUUUUUGUUCUUCUAUGAUUUGAUUUGGAGAAGAAGAAGAGGGUGUAGUGUUAAUGAGCUUUAAAUCUAAUACCCAUUUCAGAAAAUAGUAUAUAUAAUGAUGGUCCAAGAUCAUUCAUCUCCUAAACCCUCAAAACCCCUUUUUAUGAAACACAAAGUUUCACACUAUUCUGAGACUAAAAAUCUUGAUUUUUCCACAUGGGUAUCUGAGAACUAUGUUAAACUAUUUGUGGUUUCGUUGUUGACUAUUAGUGUGGCAGCCCUGUUCUACUUACGUACCUCUAGUGUACCCACCACAGUCCUAUGCUUCCAAAAUUCCCACCAAAGCCAGCCUCAGAAACCAAAGUUACCAAAACUUGAUCUUGAUUCAGUACAGCCGAUUGUAGAUAAGUCCUCUCCCUUUUCGUCGUUUCAUUCGGAGCAGUGGAUUAUUGUGUCUGUAUCAGAUUACCCAUCUGGUCCACUACAGAGUCUUGUUAGGUUAAAGGGUUGGCAAGUUCUUGCAAUAGGCAAUUCGAGAACCCCGAAAGAUUGGAACUUGAAAGGUGCUAUAUAUCUUUCUCUGGAACAACAAGCGAGUUUGGGGUUUAGGGUAACAGAUUUCCUUCCUUAUGAUUCUUAUGUGAGGAAGAGUGUGGGGUAUCUUUUUGCAAUCCAACAUGGUGCGAAGAGAAUAUAUGAUGCUGAUGAUCGUGGGGAAGUGAUUGGUGGGGAUCUUGGGAAACAUUUUGAUUUGGAGUUGGAUGGUGCCGCUGCUAAGCAGCAAAGGAUUUUGCAGUAUAGUCUUGAG